Molecule: ribosomal RNA, 250 nt
Filed under: uncultured bacterium
Lineage: Bacteria
Description: partial 16S ribosomal RNA
Rfam family: Bacterial small subunit ribosomal RNA
Source: RNAcentral
UACGUAGGCAGCAAGCGUUGUUCGGAGUUACUGGGCGUAAAGGGUGUGCAGGCGGUCGCUUAAGUUUGGUGUGAAAUCUCCCGGCUCAACUGGGAGGGUGCGCCGAAAACUGAGCGGCUCGAGUGCGGGAGAGGAGAGUGGAAUUCCUGGUGUAGCGGUGAAAUGCGUAGAUAUCAGGAGGAACACCGGUGGUGUAAACGGCUCUCUGGACCGUAACUGACGCUGAGACACGAAAGCGUGGGGAGCAAAC